GCCUGUGGUCAUACCACUCUGAAUGGACCCAGUCUUGUCUGCUCUUGGAAGCUAAGCUGAGUCAGACCUGGUUAGUACUUGGAUGGGAGACCUGGGAAUACCUAGUGCUGUAGGCU
This 116-nucleotide ribosomal RNA is filed under the name Peromyscus maniculatus bairdii (prairie deer mouse). Lineage: Eukaryota; Metazoa; Chordata; Mammalia; Rodentia; Cricetidae. The record is from RNAcentral.